Molecule: ribosomal RNA, 254 nt
Filed under: uncultured bacterium
Lineage: Bacteria
Description: partial 16S ribosomal RNA
Rfam family: Bacterial small subunit ribosomal RNA
Source: RNAcentral
CACGUAGGGGGCGAGCGUUGUCCGGAUUUAUUGGGCGUAAAGAGCUCGUAGGCGGCUCGGUAAGUCGGGUGUGAAAACUCGGGGCUCAACCCCGAGACGCCACUCGAUACUGCUGUGGCUUGAGUCCGGUAGGGGAGCGUGGAAUUCCUGGUGUAGCGGUGAAAUGCGCAGAUAUCAGGAGGAACACCAAUGGCGAAGGCAGCUCGCUGGGACGUGACUGACGCUGAGACGCGAAAGCGUGGGGAGCAAACAGG